Molecule: ribosomal RNA, 440 nt
Filed under: uncultured bacterium
Lineage: Bacteria
Description: partial 16S ribosomal RNA
Rfam family: Bacterial small subunit ribosomal RNA
Source: RNAcentral
CCUACGGGUGGCAGCAGUGGGGAAUAUUGCACCAUGGGGGAAACCCUGAUGCAGCGAAGCCGCGUGAGUGCAGAAGUAUCUCGGUACGUAAAGCUCUAUCAGCAGGGAAGAAAAUGACGGUACCUGACUAAGAAGCCCCGGCUAACUACGGGCCAACAGCCGCGGUAAUACGUAGGGGGCAAGCGUUAUCCGGAUUUGCUGGGUGUAAAGGGAGCGUAGACGGCAGCACAAGUCUGGAGUGAAAUCCCGGGGCUUAACCCCGGAACUGCUUUGGAAAAUGUGCGGAUGGAGUGCAGGAGGGGUAAGCGGAAUUCCUAGUGUAGCGGUGAAAUGCGUAGAUAUUAGGAGGAACACCGGUGGCGAAGGCGGCUUACUGGACUGUAACUGACGUUGAGGCUCGAAAGCGUGGGGAGCAAACAGGAUUAGAUACCCUAGUAGUC